UACAGAGGGGGCAAGCGUUGUUCGGAAUUACUGGGCGUAAAGGGCGCGUAGGCGGCCUUCUAAGUCGAACGUGAAAUCCCCGGGCUCAACCCGGGAACUGCGUCCGAUACUGGAAGGCUUGAAUCCGGGAGAGGGAUGUGGAAUUCCAGGUGUAGCGGUGAAAUGCGCAGAUAUCAGGAGGAACACCAACGGCGAAGGCAGCUCUCUGGGACGUUACUGACGCUGAGACGCGAAAGCGUGGGGAGCAAACAGG
RNAcentral lists this ribosomal RNA (253 nucleotides) under uncultured bacterium. RNAcentral describes it as "partial 16S ribosomal RNA". It matches the Rfam family "Bacterial small subunit ribosomal RNA", at positions 524 to 776 of the family's 1533-position model. The record is from RNAcentral.